Molecule: ribosomal RNA, 476 nt
Filed under: uncultured bacterium
Lineage: Bacteria
Description: partial 16S ribosomal RNA
Rfam family: Bacterial small subunit ribosomal RNA
Source: RNAcentral
AUGAACGCUGGCGGCGUGCCUAACACAUGCCAGGCGAACGAAGCACCUUACCUGAUUCUUCGGAUGAAAGUUUGGUGACUGAGUUGCGGACGGGGGAGUAACGCGUGAGUAACCUGCCCUGUACAGGGGGAGAACAUCUUGAAACGGCUGCUAAUACCGCAUAAGCGCACGAGGAGACAUCUCCUUGUGUUAAAAACUCCGUUGGUACAGGAUGGGCCCUCGUCUGAUUAGCUGGUUAGCAGGGUAAAGGCCUACCAAGGCAACGAUCAGUAGCCGGUCUGAGAGACUGAGCGGACACAUUGGAACUGAGCCACGGUCCAAAAUACUACGGGAUGCAGCAGUGGGGAAUAUUGCCAAGUGGCGGAAACCAUGAUGCACCAACGCCGCGUGAGUGAAGAAGUAUUUCGGUAUGUAAAGCUCUAUAAGCAGGGAAGAUAAUGACGGUACCUGAAGAAGAAGCUCCGGCUAACUACGUG